Molecule: long non-coding RNA, 664 nt
Organism: Carassius gibelio (silver crucian carp)
Lineage: Eukaryota; Metazoa; Chordata; Actinopteri; Cypriniformes; Cyprinidae
Exons: 5
Source: RefSeq, a predicted model, not a curated record
UUAUUUGACGUCUUUCCUGUAUUUUGCCUAGUGUUCGAGUGAGCAUGAUGACCACAAGUGUGUGUCGAACUUUUCAUGACCUGAUGACUGUGUUUCCCAAUCCUGAUCCUGGAGAACCCCAGCACUGCACGGUUUUGGUGUCUCUCUUAUCUGCCUUGGAGUCUUCACUGAUGAGCUGAUGAGUUGAAUCAGGUCUAAAAUAUCAAGCUCAACAGCUCACUCAAGAGCCAACCCUCACAAACCUUCCUAAAAACUAAAAGAGCUAUUACUGAGUCUCAGCGAAUCUUGCCAUGAUCAGCUCUUCCCAGAAGAGAAGGAAGACCAAGGAAAUGAUUUGCUCAGGAUGAGGAAUGAAGAUGGCCAUCUUGUGCUCAAACAAACAGAAGUCCUCUGAUGAUCUCAUCAGCCAAAUGAGGGGUUUUGACCAAGUGAUGCUCUUGAAAGGAGUGAAAGAAGAGGAUGUGGUAAAUUGUCUUCAGAGAAAAAGCUUCUCAAAAGGUCUUAAAGCAGCUUGAAGAAUGGUCUGGGAUCUUAGGACUGAGAGAUCCUCUGGCUGAGAACAAGCUACACCACAUCAGUGCUGGAUAUCAACCACAAACUGUUUCCAGACACGAGAGAAGAAGAACACGAUGGGGAGAUGAAACCAGUUUAGAUGUGAUGAUGG